Molecule: long non-coding RNA, 899 nt
Filed under: Daphnia pulicaria
Lineage: Eukaryota; Metazoa; Arthropoda; Branchiopoda; Diplostraca; Daphniidae
Description: uncharacterized LOC124311576, transcript variant X6
Source: RNAcentral
UUUCAUCGGAGACGCUGUCCGUGAAUGUUUGGUCGUUUGGUUCAGUCUUGCUGGAAACUCCCUGACAUUUUUCGGCUCAAAAUGCCUGGAUGAAGUCCAAGCUACAGUCAUAGCAUUACUUGUACUUGAUAGCUGCUGUGGAAUUAAGGUUUUCAUGGAUGGUUUGAUGAUUGAGCUGUUUUGUUGUGGCUGUUUGGGGUGCAGUGGUUCUCCUGUAGAGAUGCGUAGAAAUGGAGCUUGUGCAGGCUUGAUGUUUAAUGGGGGCAACUUCCCGGUGUUAGCAACAUGACGGCCGUAAGCUUAUGUCGCUUACGUCAUUUCUGCUGCGGGUGCUGUUAGUUACGGUGUUCGUGAUCAGUGCCGUCAACUUCAACAUUCUUCUUCACAAAUCUCCUCAAGAUUCAUUGUCAAAAUUUGAUUGCUGAGGUUUUUGAAAAACAGUGAAAGUACUUCAGCUUAAUUCCUAUAUUCUUUGGGUCUUGCCUGUGAUCCACAUCUGUUCUUGACAUUUGAAGUUUUUCCCCUGUAGGCUUUGUUGGCUAAUUGUUGGAUGGAUUAAUGGCUUGGUGAAGUUGAGCUUUUUCAAGGCAGUCCAAUGUCCACUUGUAUUUGUUGCAGCCAGCUGGUUAAUGGUAUGGUGAACUGUUGUAUGAAGACCAUCCACUGUUGUGAUGAGCAUCUGCAUGCAGUCUGUGGUGCUGGUGAGAGAAGUGCUGUAUGCUGUCAGUAGAGUGUGGUGCCAGCUUUAAAUUUGAAGGACUCACUGCCUUAACAACUGAGUGUCUGAAUCAUUAAUUUUAUAAUUGUGAGCAUAAGAUAGAAUUUCAAUUCUUUUAUGUACUUUGUUUUAAAGUCAGUUUGAGUUAUAUUGGUGUCAAUUUGUUGUGCAGAAAUGUUUG